AUGUUGAAUCCUAAACCUGAUGCAAGCAAGAGAUGGCUGGCGCCACAACCAGGUUACUCAAAGAUAAACAUCGACGGAGCUUUCUCCCGUGGGGGAAAAACAUCAGCGACAGUGGCUUUUUGCCAAGAUGCAUCAGGCAGAUACGUUGGAGCUUCAGCCCUCGUUUUGGGGAACAUUAAUGAUCCAACCGUCAUUGAAGCACUGGCUUGUAGGGAGGGCUUAGCCCUUGCUGCUGACCUGAACCUUGCAAGCAUUACUAUUGCGUCAGAUUGCCAAACAUUAGUGAUUGACAUUGAUCAAGGUUUGAGUGCUGCAAACGGUGCAAUUGUGCGGGAGAUACAAGGAAGGAUGGGCCAUUUUACCAGCUGUCUUAUCAUUCACGAAUGGAGAAACUUCAAUUUUGAACCCCACAAUUUAGCAAAACAAGCUUCUUCUUUAGGUUUUGGUCAUCAUGUUGGGCUGGAUCUCCCUUAUGAUCCUCUGAAUGUACCUGCAAACAUUGCUGUUACUUUUCAAUAA
RNAcentral lists this ribosomal RNA (519 nucleotides) under Triticum aestivum (bread wheat). Its description in RNAcentral is "partial small subunit ribosomal RNA". The record is from RNAcentral. Lineage: Eukaryota; Viridiplantae; Streptophyta; Magnoliopsida; Poales; Poaceae.